This 253-nucleotide ribosomal RNA is filed under the name uncultured bacterium. RNAcentral's name for it is "partial 16S ribosomal RNA". It matches the Rfam family "Bacterial small subunit ribosomal RNA", at positions 524 to 776 of the family's 1533-position model. The record is from RNAcentral.
UACGUAGGGUGCGAGCGUUGUCCGGAAUUAUUGGGCGUAAAGAGCUCGUAGGCGGUCUGUCGCGUCGGCUGUGAAAACCCGGGGCUCAACCCCGGGCCUGCAGUCGAUACGGGCAGACUAGAGUGCGGUAGGGGAGACUGGAAUUCCUGGUGUAGCGGUGAAAUGCGCAGAUAUCAGGAGGAACACCGGUGGCGAAGGCGGGUCUCUGGGCCGAUACUGACGCUGAGGAGCGAAAGCGUGGGGAGCAAACAGG